Molecule: non-coding RNA, 443 nt
Organism: Drosophila melanogaster (fruit fly)
Lineage: Eukaryota; Metazoa; Arthropoda; Insecta; Diptera; Drosophilidae
Source: Ensembl
UCUUGCUGUUUCAGAAGUUUGUUUUUCGAACGGAUUUGAAUUCCAGUAGGUUUUUCGCCACCGCCUCCAUUAAAUUGAGUUAAGUGAAAAUUGAAUCGGGAGCGCAAAAAUCAACCUGACAGGCAACACAAAGGCACGGAUGUUGCGAAAAUGAAGGUUGGCAAUGAUUCUCAUAUUAAUGGCACUGAUGAUGAUGAUGAUGAUGCUGCUGAUGAUGAUGACGAUGAUGACGAGGUGGCGGCCGGGUCUGAAUUCAAACUGUUCAACAUUUCCGUUUAAUACGGCUUCACUUCCGUACAAAUUUAAUUAAAAACUGAAAUUUUUCUUAUUGCGUGCGCUGGUUAUACAACUGCCCACUCCAGCAGGCUUACACAUAUGUACAUAUGUAUGUACCACAUAUGUGCAAUCAGAAAAUAAUGAAUAAUUUAAAAUGUCUGCACUCU